This 392-nucleotide ribosomal RNA is filed under the name uncultured bacterium. Its description in RNAcentral is "bacterial SSU rRNA". It matches the Rfam family "Bacterial small subunit ribosomal RNA", at positions 28 to 416 of the family's 1533-position model. The record is from RNAcentral.
GUUGAACGCUGGCGGCAUGCCUAACACAUGCAAGUCGAACGGCAGCACGGCAGUAGCAAUACUGUGGGUGGCGAGUGGCGGACGGGUGAGGAAUACGUCGGAAUCUGCCCAGUCGUGGGGGAUAACUAGCCGAAAGGUUAGCUAAUACCGCAUACGACCGAGAGGUGAAAGCGGGGGACCGCAAGGCCUCGCGCGAUUGGAUGAGCCGACGUCGGAUUAGCUAGUUGGUGGGGUAAAGGCCCACCAAGGCGACGAUCCGUAGCUGGUCUGAGAGGAUGAUCAGCCACACUGGAACUGAGACACGGUCCAGACUCCUACGGGAGGCAGCAGUGGGGAAUAUUGGACAAUGGGCGCAAGCCUGAUCCAGCAAUGCCGCGUGUGUGAAGAAGGCC